RNAcentral lists this ribosomal RNA (433 nucleotides) under uncultured bacterium. Its description in RNAcentral is "partial 16S ribosomal RNA". It matches the Rfam family "Bacterial small subunit ribosomal RNA", at positions 29 to 507 of the family's 1533-position model. The record is from RNAcentral.
AACGAACGCUGGCGGCAUGCCUAACACAUGCAAGUCGAACGAGACCUUCGGGUCUAGUGGCGCACGGGUGCGUAACGCGUGGGAACCUGCCCUUAGGUUCGGCAUAACUCCCCGAAAGGGGUGCUAAUACCGGAUAAUGUCUUCGGACCAAGGAUUUAUCGCCUUUGGAUGGGCCCGCGUUGGAUUAGCUAGUUGGUAGGGUAAAAGCCUACCAAGGCGACGAUCCAUAGCUGGUCUGAGAGGAUGAUCAGCCACACUGGGACUGAGACACGGCCCAGACUCCUACGGGAGGCAGCAGUGGGGAAUAUUGGACAAUGGGCGAAAGCAUGAUCCAGCAAUGCCGCGUGAGUGAUGAAGGCCUUAGGGUUGUAAAGCUCUUUUACCCGGGAUGAUAAUGACAGUACCGGGAGAAUAAGCUCCGGCUAACUCCGUG